This 253-nucleotide ribosomal RNA is filed under the name uncultured bacterium. RNAcentral's name for it is "partial 16S ribosomal RNA". It matches the Rfam family "Bacterial small subunit ribosomal RNA", at positions 524 to 776 of the family's 1533-position model. The record is from RNAcentral.
UACGAAGGGGGCUAGCGUUGCUCGGAAUUACUGGGCGUAAAGGGUGCGUAGGCGGCUUUUUAAGUCAGGGGUGAAAUCCUGGAGCUCAACUCCAGAACUGCCUUUGAUACUGAAGAUCUUGAGUUCGGGAGAGGUGAGUGGAACUGCGAGUGUAGAGGUGAAAUUCGUAGAUAUUCGCAAGAACACCAGUGGCGAAGGCGGCUCACUGGCCCGAUACUGACGCUGAGGCACGAAAGCGUGGGGAGCAAACAGG